UGGGAACGUACCCUUUGGUUCGGAACAACCCAGGGAAACCUGGGCUAAUACCGGAUAAGUCCGUAAGGAGAAAGAUUUAUCGCCAAAGGAUCGGCCCGCGUCUGAUUAGCUAGUUGGUAGGGUAAUGGCCUACCAAGGCUACGAUCAGUAGCUGGUCUGAGAGGAUGAUCAGCCACAUUGGGACUGAGACACGGCCCAAACUCCUACGGGAGGCAG
Molecule: ribosomal RNA, 216 nt
Filed under: uncultured bacterium
Lineage: Bacteria
Description: partial 16S ribosomal RNA
Rfam family: Bacterial small subunit ribosomal RNA
Source: RNAcentral